Myotis davidii is the source of this 74-nucleotide non-coding RNA. Lineage: Eukaryota; Metazoa; Chordata; Mammalia; Chiroptera; Vespertilionidae. The record is from Rfam.
GGUGUUUUUUGAGUAACACACCCCAGAAUCAGGCUCCCUCCUCUCUGGCUGUGGUGUGUCACCCGAGAACUGCA